GACGAACGCUGGCGGCGUGCUUAACACAUGCAAGUCGAACGGAAAGGCCUGCUUUCCCUUGUGGAUUGCGGGUACUCGAGUGGCGAACGGGUGAGUAGCACGUGAGUGAUCUGCCCCCAACUUGGGUAUAAGCCUGGGAAACUGGGUCUAAUUCCCGAUAGGACUGCAGGGUGGUGCCUGUGGUGGAAAACGAUUUUCUAGUGGUUGGGGAUGAGCUCGCGGCCUAUCAGCUUGUUGGUGGGGUAAUGGCCUACCAAGGCGGCGACGGGUAGCCGGCCUGAGAGGGUGGACGGGCACAUUGGGACUGAGAUACGGCCCAGACUCCUACGGGAGGCAGCAGUGGGGAAUAUUGCACAAUGGGCGGAAGCCUGAUGCAGCGACGCCGCGUGGGGGAUGACGGCCUUCGGGUUGUAAACUCCUUUCGACCGCGAGGAAGCCACCUGGUUGGAAGGGUGGUGACGGUAGUGGUAGAAGAAGCACCGGCUAACUACGUG
This 494-nucleotide ribosomal RNA is filed under the name uncultured bacterium. Its description in RNAcentral is "partial 16S ribosomal RNA". It matches the Rfam family "Bacterial small subunit ribosomal RNA", at positions 28 to 507 of the family's 1533-position model. The record is from RNAcentral.